UGGUAGCUCCCUGCUGAUGUCCUCUCAGA
This 29-nucleotide non-coding RNA is filed under the name Rattus norvegicus (Norway rat). The record is from RNAcentral. Lineage: Eukaryota; Metazoa; Chordata; Mammalia; Rodentia; Muridae.